GGGGGUAUAGCUCAGCUGGGAGAGCGUCUGAUUUGCAUUCAGAAGGUCGCAGGUUCGAUCCCUGUUACCUCCACCA
RNAcentral lists this transfer RNA (76 nucleotides) under Bdellovibrio sp. SKB1291214. RNAcentral describes it as "tRNA-Ala". It matches the Rfam family "tRNA". Rfam says of the family: Transfer RNA (tRNA) molecules are approximately 80 nucleotides in length. Their secondary structure includes four short double-helical elements and three loops (D, anti-codon, and T loops). Further hydrogen bonds mediate the characteristic L-shaped molecular structure. tRNAs have two regions of fundamental functional importance: the anti-codon, which is responsible for specific mRNA codon recognition, and the 3' end, to which the tRNAs corresponding amino acid is attached (by aminoacyl-tRNA synthetases). tRNAs cope with the degeneracy of the genetic code in two manners: having more than one tRNA (with a specific anti-codon) for a particular amino acid; and 'wobble' base-pairing, i.e. permitting non-standard base-pairing at the 3rd anti-codon position. The record is from RNAcentral. RNAcentral also lists the same sequence under 7 other names. Lineage: Bacteria; Pseudomonadati; Bdellovibrionota; Bdellovibrionia; Bdellovibrionales; Pseudobdellovibrionaceae.